AAAUUGAAGAGUUUGAUCAUGGCUCAGAUUGAACGCUGGCGGCAGGCCUAACACAUGCAAGUCGAGCGGCAGCGGGAAAGUAGCUUGCUACUUUUGCCGGCGAGCGGCGGACGGGUGAGUAAUGCCUGGGGAUCUGCCCAGUCGAGGGGGAUAACAGUUGGAAACGACUGCUAAUACCGCAUACGCCCUACGGGGGAAAGGAGGGGACCUUCGGGCCUUUCGCGAUUGGAUGAACCCAGGUGGGAUUAGCUAGUUGGUGGGGUAAUG
This 267-nucleotide ribosomal RNA is filed under the name Aeromonas salmonicida. Its description in RNAcentral is "partial 16S ribosomal RNA". It matches the Rfam family "Bacterial small subunit ribosomal RNA", at positions 1 to 262 of the family's 1533-position model. The record is from RNAcentral. Lineage: Bacteria; Pseudomonadati; Pseudomonadota; Gammaproteobacteria; Aeromonadales; Aeromonadaceae.